UAAGGGGGUGCUUGCCGGAAUGACGCCCAAGAAACAGGAAGGCAGGCUGAGAUCAUACCCAUUGAACCUGGACGGGUAAUGCCGGCGAAGGGAAAAAAGU
Molecule: non-coding RNA, 100 nt
Filed under: Parabacteroides johnsonii
Lineage: Bacteria; Pseudomonadati; Bacteroidota; Bacteroidia; Bacteroidales; Tannerellaceae
Source: RNAcentral